Molecule: long non-coding RNA, 632 nt
Organism: Corythoichthys intestinalis (scribbled pipefish)
Lineage: Eukaryota; Metazoa; Chordata; Actinopteri; Syngnathiformes; Syngnathidae
Exons: 4
Source: RefSeq, a predicted model, not a curated record
CCAACCAAGAGCCCACCAACAACCCACCCAAACCCGUUAAAAAGCAGGACUUGUAGCCUCUUCGCGUUCGGAAUCGGGUCAUAUAAAGACGGUUCCGCGUGGUUGCUAGUCGACGACAAGAGAAAACAAAAGAAAGACGAUAUGGGAGCCAGUUCAUCUACUCCAGCGACCGGUAUGCUUUACCCUUCACCUGCUGGGACAACCAUUGGCUAUGAUGUACAACCAGACGCGCAACUGACCUCAAUUUUGCAGCCAACUGCACCAUCUGGAACACAGGCAGGAACUGCAGCAGCUUCUGCUCCACCAGGAACAAGUUCAAGUUCCUCUACUACCGGAAUGUUUUGAUGCCUCUGUUCUGAAUCAUCAUCAUGGAGCCCUCAAACAGCAUGUCCAUCAUUUCAAAUGAAUUUACAAAUAGUGAUUUGUAAUCUAAAUUUAACGGAAUUAUGUUGCUGAAGGAAAUGUUACGUGUGAUCAGAGUGUGGAAGUCCACAAGUAAAGAAUAAUACAUCUAUUUGUCAGCAAGAAUUUGUUUAAUGUCACAAGGCCCUUUAACAUUAAACGUACGUGUGCAUUCAUAAAGUUGUAUGACAGGUUGUGUAUUCCUUAAAGUGACCUAUCAAAAGCAAAAA